GAGGGUGUAGCUCAAGUGGUAGAGCACGUGCUUAGCAUGCAUGAGGUCCUGGGUUCAAUCCCCCGGUACCUCCU
Molecule: transfer RNA, 74 nt
Filed under: Camelus bactrianus (Bactrian camel)
Lineage: Eukaryota; Metazoa; Chordata; Mammalia; Artiodactyla; Camelidae
Also listed under: 2 other names
Rfam family: tRNA
About the family: Transfer RNA (tRNA) molecules are approximately 80 nucleotides in length. Their secondary structure includes four short double-helical elements and three loops (D, anti-codon, and T loops). Further hydrogen bonds mediate the characteristic L-shaped molecular structure. tRNAs have two regions of fundamental functional importance: the anti-codon, which is responsible for specific mRNA codon recognition, and the 3' end, to which the tRNAs corresponding amino acid is attached (by aminoacyl-tRNA synthetases). tRNAs cope with the degeneracy of the genetic code in two manners: having more than one tRNA (with a specific anti-codon) for a particular amino acid; and 'wobble' base-pairing, i.e. permitting non-standard base-pairing at the 3rd anti-codon position.
Source: Rfam by way of RNAcentral